This 452-nucleotide ribosomal RNA is filed under the name uncultured prokaryote. RNAcentral describes it as "bacterial SSU rRNA". It matches the Rfam family "Bacterial small subunit ribosomal RNA", at positions 355 to 796 of the family's 1533-position model. The record is from RNAcentral.
UAGGGAAUAUUGCGCAAUGGGCGAAAGCCUGACGCAGCGACGCCGCGUGUGGGAGGACGCCCCUCGGGGUGUAAACCACUGUCAGGGGGGAAGAACUCCGCCGAGGUGAACAGCCUCGGCGGCUGACGGUACCCUCAGUAGGAAGCGCCGGCUAACUCCGUGCCAGCAGCCGCGGUAACACGGGGGGCGCGAGCGUUGUUCGGAAUUACUGGGCGUAAAGCGCGGGCAGGCGGCCCGUCGAGUCGUUUGUGAAAAUCCGGGGCUUAACCCCGUGAAAUGCAGACGAUACUGGCGGGCUGGAGACCGGUAGAGGCUAGUGGAAUUCCUGGUGUAGCGGUGGAAUGCGUAGAUAUCAGGAAGAACACCGGUGGCGAAGGCGGCUAGCUGGGCCGGGUCUGACGCUCAUCCGCGAAAGCGUGGGGAGCAAACAGGAUUAGAUACCCCCGUAGUCC